Long non-coding RNA from Brassica napus (rape), 3352 nucleotides. RefSeq lists it as uncharacterized. The record is from RefSeq and is a predicted model, not a curated record. The transcript has 5 exons. NCBI's taxonomy places the organism in Eukaryota, Viridiplantae, Streptophyta, Magnoliopsida, Brassicales, Brassicaceae.
AUUGAUAUGUUAACAAAUAACAACAUAGAAUAAUUAGGCCCUAAAAAUGUUUAAAUAAAUAAUAGGCCCCAUACUAAUGUAUCACAUGUAUGGGGUCAAACCGGGCCUACUUAUUUAUAAGGCAAUCAAAAACCAUAAAACAUAUUAUGAUCAUUGUCCGAAAACCAAUUCAUAAUCCAACUAGGAAUCAAAUAACUUGUUGCUUAAGGUUUCUUUAAGCUAACUUCAACAUCUUUAUCUUCUUCUUCUUUUUUUUUUUUCUAGGCAAAGCGCAAGGAACUUCUGCAAUAUGUCCAAGGUGCAACUGGAGGGCUUAAAACCAGUGCUGAUCUUGCAAGGUAUUAUUGGAUCAGAAUCUUUUAUACACUCUCUGAAUUUUCCUGGCUGAAGCUUUGCGUGGAGUUUUAACAGCCUCCAAGUCUUCAAAAUUUUUCUUUCCCUCGUUUCAAUUCUCAUUUGUGCAUGUCUCAGAAUAGAUACUGAAGACCAAGCUCAUUAGUUAUGGUCUGGGUUUCCAUAUCUUUUUUUUUGUUAUAUUAAAAAGUUCAAAAAACAUGAAAGUUUAACGGGAGACAUGCUCGAAGUAGAAAAAAAAAUUACGAAACAUAGAAAGGUAAAGCCUAUAAGAGGCGAGUCAAGCUCAGCAAGAUGAAUGAAACCUAUGGAGAAGUUUCACCUAAAGAACGUCGAAAUCGACGUUGAUACAGCAAUAAGAAGAGACCAAAGUCCUAACUGACUUGUAUUUGACGCUGAAUAGCACGCAGAAGAGCACACUGUGAACAAAGCUAUUCGAAGAAGAUGAGUACAUAUGACAGUGGCUUGAACAAAUGGACUAGGUUGAAUCCAAUAGUGGGAAUAUGGCCACAUCCACGACAAUGAAAUUAGAGUAGAGCUUGAGGAGGACUUCUAAGGCAGCAGCUAACAUUGAGUUAAGACAAAAGCUUCUAGUUCCAGCAUUACCCUGAUGGAGCCAUGAAAGUUUGUCGAGCUGCCGGUCUUCGAACUCAGAACUCAGAACUCAGAACUCAGAACUCAGUUCAGCCACAUGAGCAUCAUUGAGUAAAUAAGGUACAGCUGUUGAUAUUGUUGCCAUCUUCCAUUCGAUAAUUGUAUAUGAUACUGAUAGGCACAAGAACUUUGUCGAAUGGAGUGGUGGAUGGGGUCGUGGUAGGAGACCACAUAAAAAACCUUCUGGGCCAGGAAAUGUGUUAGGAUGUCGGGAUCUUGCUCGGAGAGAGAUGAAACAAGUUCGCCUGUGAGCUCGACAUAGGAGACUCGAGACGGCGUAGCAGUGGGACGACCUCUCGUCUAGGAGCUUGUUCCAGAGGAGGUAAGGGUGGCGGUGUGUGCGACAAUAGAUCUGGCCAGCGGAGCUCAGCUAUACGAAGGGGUGGAGAGACCAACGCAAGACAUGAUGGAGGCUUGAGGAUAGAUACAGUGAAGAAGAGACCCGAAACCUCAUGUAGUACUUCACGAACUGAUACAGAAUAUACAUCUUCACAAUGCACGACGACGACACGGAGCGGACGCGGAAUGGCGGUGAUGCCGCCGGAGCUUCUUGCUUGAAACGGCUCCUCGAAAAGCGGACCCGAGAGAAACUUGAAACCACUUUGUUUGUUAUUUUUUUAUGUCUGUUGCUUAGUGGGUUUCCAGCUAUUGUUGCUGUUAUUUAUUUGUAUAGAACCGUGCUUAUUAAGUCUUAAUAUUGUAGUUUUUUUUUUUUUCACACACUAAGAAAUCUUUAUUGCAAGUAUCUUCAUGAUUUUUGUAUACAUUUCUGAUUUAUCAAUCAAUCCCUGUGAGAUGUGCCAAAAACUUGGGUUGUUCGAAGCUAGAAGCACUCUUACUGAAGAAGAAAUCAUUAAGAAAUGGUGAUUCCCUUCAACGCCACAGUGAGAAGGUAAAAAACUCGAAACUUUUUCCGCUUUUGUUGGUUUGUUUGUUUGUAACUGUCCCAUACAUAGUUUUCUUACCGUAAAGACUGAUUAUUAGCUUGUUUUUCAAAAAUAUUGGAAUACAAAGAUUUAUUUGGCAACAUUUGAACUCUGUUACAUAUUGCCUUGAUGUCACUAAUGUUCGACCUCACAUACCUAAUUCCUAGCUAUUUAAAUGUUGGUUUCGACGUGGGUCAGAAUUUUCAUUCUUUAUUUUGCAGAUUGAUAAACUGAAAUGUUCUGUCCGAAUCUUUACUCAAUUCAACCUCUAAAGAAGAAAAACGAAUCGUGGAUCAUAGGUGAGAGCAAAUGUAACAGGCUUAUGAUCUCGUUGAUCCUGCUGACUGUUGGUUUGUGAAAAUUGUAAAAUGUUUAUUACGUUGAUCCUGACUUUCCGAGAUGUGUUUCUUCACAGUGAGCUUUACUUAAUGAUGACUCCUGUUUCUUUUUGUUGAAGUCUGAUCAAUGUUUGUGUUGUUUUGACACUUUGUGAAUGUCUGAUCAUGGUAACUUUUGAGAGAACCUUUACUCUUUUUUUUUUCUUUUUUCUUUUCAGCAGAAACACUGUUAGUAGGAUUGUUUUUUCUUAACCAAAGAGAGGUGGCUUUUGUGUGUUAGUUUGUGGUUAAUGUAGCUUUUUCGUCUCUGGGAUUUUACUUAUGAGUUUGUGCUUUGUGAAUUGCAUUUUGUUAUGUUGUGCAGUACAUUCAUGGUUUAAUUAGCUGCUAGAGGAGUUCAUUCUAUUCAUCGCGCAGGACCCACUCUCCAAGAUCUUGGCUUCUUUCUUCUUCCGGAGCUUGGUCAAGAGAGAAGCUACAUAAGUGAGACUGUGUUCACUAGUGUAUUUGUUUCCUUUUUCCUGUGGACUUUCCAUCCAUUCAUCCUGAAAAGCAAAAUAAUAUACACCGUCUUGAUUUGGUGCAGAGUUGUAGCAUUCUUAUUUGUAAUUCCCCUGCCUUACUAGUUACUAUGGUUCAAGCUUGCUGAGUCUUAUCAAUUUUUCACUUUAUCGAUGUUUCUGUUUACAGUUCUCUCCGUGUUAUAACAUUCUAUUCAACUCAGCUUCCUGGCCCAAACUACCACUGUCGUGAGGUAUAAAGCAACUGAGAUUCUAAACACAAAGGUCUCCAGUGUCCUAAUCAACUAAAGCUUAUAUGUGUUGCUACAGGCCAGGCUGCCAUGUGCCAUGGCCCAAAAACCAUCUUCUUUUUUUUCUUUCCCUCACACGCAUUUUCUUAUGUGGAGACCUGAUUUUUCUCAUCUCACAUGAUAUUUACUCUAGUCUUUGUCCACACUUACCAGAAGUACGGCACUAAAAGGUUCAUAAAGCUGUUUGGGUGGCUCACUGCUCUCGUGCAGAGCCUCUUGAUCAUUGCCUCCCGUAAACAUUACACUGUCGAUGUCGUUGUUGCAUGGUA